This 246-nucleotide ribosomal RNA is filed under the name uncultured bacterium. RNAcentral's name for it is "partial 16S ribosomal RNA". It matches the Rfam family "Bacterial small subunit ribosomal RNA", at positions 86 to 334 of the family's 1533-position model. The record is from RNAcentral.
AGAUGGCGACCGGCGCACGGGUGAGUAACACGUAUCCAACCUGCCGAUAACUCGGGGAUAGCCUUUCGAAGAAAGAUUAAUACCCGAUGGUAUAAUCAGACCGCAUGGUUUGAUUAUUAAAGAAUUUCGGUUAUCGAUGGGGAUGCGUUCCAUUAGGCAGUUGGUGAGGUAACGGCUCACCAAACCUUCGAUGGAUAGGGGUUCUGAGAGGAAGGUCCCCCACAUUGGAACUGAGACACGGUCCAA